AGAGUUUGAUCAUGGCUCAGAACGUACGCUGGCGGCACGCCUAACACAUGCAAGUCGAACGAAGUAGCAAUACUUAGUGGCGAACGGGUGAGUAUAAUGUGGGUAUCUGCCUUUUGGUUUGGAAUAACACGAGGAAACUUGUGCUAAUACCGGAUAAGCCCUUACGGGGAAAGUUUUAACGCCGAAAGAUGAGCCCGCACUUGAUUAGCUAGUUGGUAAGGUAAAAGCUUACCAAGGCUACGAUCAAUAGCUGAUCUGAGAGGAUGAUCAGCCACAUUGGGACUGAGACACGGCCCAAACUCCUACGGGAGGCAGCAGUGGGGAAUCUUGCACAAUGGGGGAAACCCUGAUGCAGCGAUGCCGCGUGAGUGAAGAAGGCCCUUGGGUUGUAAAGCUCUUUCGUCGGGGAAGAAAAUGACUGUACCCGAAUAAGAAGGUCCGGCUAACUUCGUGCCAGCAGCCGCGGUAAUACGAAGGGACCUAGCGUAGUUCGGAAUUACUGGGCUUAAAGAGCACGUAGGUGGUUAGAAUAGUUGGUGGUGAAAUCCCAGAGCUUAACUCUGGAACUGCCACCAAAACUUUUUGACUAGAGUGUGAUAGAGGUAAGCGGAAUUUCUAGUGUAGAGGUGAAAUUCGUAGAUAUUAGAAAGAACACCAAUUGCGAAGGCAGCUUUCUGGAUCAUUACUGACACUGAGGUGCGAAAGCAUGGGUAGCGAAGAGGAUUAGAUACCCUCGUAGUCCAUGCUGUAAACGAUGUGUGCUAGACGUUGGAAAUUUAUUUUUCAGUGUCGCAGCAAAAGCGUUAAGCACACCGCCUGGGGAGUACGACCGCAAGGUUAAAACUCAAAUGAAUUGACGGGGACCCGCACAAGUAGUGGAGCAUGUGGUUUAAUUCGAAGAUACGCGCAGAACCUUACCAACACUUGACAUGUUCGUCGCGACUCUAAGAGAUUAGAGUCUUCGGUUCGGCCGGACGAAACACAGGUGCUGCAUGGCUGUCGUCAGCUCGUGUCGUGAGAUGUUGGGUUAAGUCCCGCAACGAGCGCAACCCUCACUUUUAGUUGCUACCAUUUAGUUGGGCACUCUAAAAGAACUGCCAGUGAUAAGCUGGAGGAAGGUGGGGAUGACGUCAAGUCCUCAUGGCCCUUACGUGUUGGGCUACACACGUGCUACAAUGGUACUUACAAUGAGAUGCUAGGAGGCGACUCUAAGCUAAUCUCAAAAAGGUACCUCAGUUCGGAUUGCACUCUGCAACUCGAGUGCAUGAAGCUGGAAUUACUAGUAAUCGCGGAUCAGCGCGCCGCGGUGAAUACGUUCCCGGGUCUUGUACACACCGCCCGUCACACCAUGGAAGUUGGUUACACCUUAAGACAGAGCGUAAAAACUUUGGCUACGGUACGAUCAGCGACUGGGGUGAAGUCGUAACAAGGUAGCCGUAGGGGAACCUGCGGCUG
RNAcentral lists this ribosomal RNA (1455 nucleotides) under Pelagibacteraceae bacterium AG-414-E02. RNAcentral describes it as "bacterial SSU rRNA". It matches the Rfam family "Bacterial small subunit ribosomal RNA". RNAcentral also lists the same sequence under 1 other name. Lineage: Bacteria; Pseudomonadati; Pseudomonadota; Alphaproteobacteria; Candidatus Pelagibacterales; Candidatus Pelagibacteraceae. The record is from RNAcentral.